Molecule: long non-coding RNA, 3994 nt
Organism: Mus musculus (house mouse)
Lineage: Eukaryota; Metazoa; Chordata; Mammalia; Rodentia; Muridae
Product: predicted gene, 29862
Exons: 5
Source: RefSeq, a predicted model, not a curated record
UGGAAUGAUGCAGAACACAGAGAGAAUGAUGCAGCACCAAGAAUUUCAAUGAGAGUAGAUUUGAUGGCUUGGCACACAUCUAUGGGAGCAAAGAAACUACCUGACUGUACCUAAGGAACUUGGAAACCUGAGAGAAAAGAGAAAAGGAGACCUGAGCAGGAAUUCAAUGCAGAUGAAGACAUCUGGAGAGAGGUAUUAAGUGUUCAGAAAUCGGGCUAAUUCAUUGCAGCUGUGAGGGAGCAGGCAGAGGUAACUGCACGUGAGCUGUUUUAGUCUGGCAUGGCUCAUGAAGACGAAUUCCUUUUUUGGGUCUCUGAUUUUGAAUUGGCGUGAUAGAUCAUGUAACUCUCUGAGGAACUUUAGAAUUCCAGACGGUUUGACGGAAGUGCUGUAUGACUGAUUCCCCGACUGAGGGGGCCAUGGGCUGUCUGUGGACUAUCACAUCUCAGGGGUUCUACCUGCUUCUCCCACUGAUUUCACACCGAGAAAGGAAGCUUUACAAAGUCUCCUUUGUAAGAAGUCAUUAAUAUGAUAGGUGAGAAAACCAUCUGGAUACAGGAUGGCUGGGACCUCAGCAUCCUUCCUUAAUAUCCGUGUCACGUUCCUGUUUACUUAAAGAUGGCCUCAUGCAGACAUCACACAGUAAGGUGGCCUUGGUACCCAGGGUCCAUGUUGCAUAUUGGAGGUGAAGACUAAUUUAUUGCCCGUUCUUAUUUUAAUAAGAAUUAACACCAUGGAAUUUUAAAAAUGCUUACAAAGCAUUGCCACUUAGUUUGAAGGGUUCUCACAUACCUGUUGUCCAAUUUAUGCCUCUUACAUACUUAUUUCAUAUGCCUGUACAUGCAAAGUCACAUAACCGUUUCUUGGGUAAGAAGGCAUGAUGAGCAGGAGAGAUAGAGAAGCCCUCUUAUAGACCACACUAUUUGAGACCCAACCGAAAGUGCAGCAGAAGGGUAUUCCUAAUUGAGGAAGGUCCUCGGUUUCAUGUGGAAGACCCUGGAGAGGCACAAUGUUCUCAAGGCAGCAGGUGCCUGGUUACAGCUGUGCUAUGGCAUCUGUAAAUGUCCUGAAGCCAUGGGCCUGUUCCGGCUACUCCCAACAAAACCCAGAGAAAUGAAUUAUGUCUAAACCACCUCUGUGUAAAGUAGUUCAUCUCCAGCUUCACCUUGUAAAUAUUAACAGCUCUCUUUCUCCCCAGCUCUUCAUGGCUCAUGUCAUCUUUUAAAUGCUAGGAGUCCAUUUUCUAUCAGUCAGAGUUAGAUUGUGGACUCCAGGAUAGCGUGAACCAUGUUUAGGUGCUCUAUUCAAAAUAUUUCCUAAAACAUAAUAGUCAAUUAGUCGAUAAAUAUAUUAUGAGUACGUUAAGGAAUGAAUAAGAUGUGACACUUUUAAGUGCAGCUGAGAGAACACUGAUACCAUUUUCACAGUGUGAGAAUUGACAGCAUAAACUUGAUAUAUUAAUAACUAUCCAUUUGUAGUCAAAUGGCCACGAACACUGACAUUUAUGCAAUAUUUUCCUUUUAUAAUUGAUGUGAAAAUUAGUAUUAGAAUAGGAAGUAAGAAGGAAAGGAAUAUAAAAGCUUGGGGAAUGAUUGUACAUGAUUGGUGCUCAGAAUUUUGUUCAGCCAUAAAACUUAGGAUGAAAGCUGGGAGCCUGCGCAACCUUGUUACAUUUCUCUCCCAUCAUUCCAGAGACCAAGCCAAAGGCUUUACAUUUCACAGCUAAUUAGUAGGGAAACAGGACCAGACUGAAGGAGAUUUCUUUUCAGUCCAGUAAUUUCCCUUUAGCUCGUCCUAUCUCACCUUGCCACAAACAUUCAGUUUUAACAUUUCCUGGUUGAUGGUGUCUGAAAUCUCAAAUUUAACAGCAUAUUUCCAGGUGUAAAACUUGACUUUCCCUUCCUUUCCACAUGGGAGCUCCAGCUGUGCAAUGGAGAUGAGGAAGGUACGUUUCUUCUCAGCAUCAUUUAGAGGCCCCCCUUGAAGUCAUGCACAAUAAACCCUUUAUCCACGGCUACAAAGCUCCUGGUGCCCGAUUUCCCACACAUGUGAUUCCAUUUCAAAAACACAAUCCGAACCGUUUUCAUGGCCAUGUCAUGUUACAACGUUGCAAGUGGCCGUAAACAAAGCAAAGGGCUGGUGUUGGACCAUUUGAGGAGACACACAUAAACCUGGGAUACAGAUUUAAUUUCUGAACUAUUUCAUUAUUACAACAGGUACUGUGUCUCCAAGUAUUUUUACUUAAAUUCCUUGGGUGGCAGAAAUCAAAGCCGUACCAGGAUAGCAUUAAUGAGAAGUGAAGUCAAAAUAUCUGGAAAACCUGAUACUUCAAAUGCUACGUGAAAGGCAAUCUGUCUAAAAACUAAUUUCUCCCAAGAAUGAGCUGUAAUUUUUGUUUUCCAGUCACUGUAGAAAUAAUCUUGUGGGCUCCAUGCCUGUGCUUUAAUAUUUCGGAAUAAAACAUAGGUGCUCAUGCCAGAUGUAUGGAAAGAAUAUGCCAGUUAAUCUAAGAAUUUUAAUUAAUGAUUGAAAUGGAUAUCUUUUUUUUUCUUGUUCAGGAGGACAUUAAGCCUUUUAAUUUUCUAUUGGUCCAAGUCGUGAGGAGAAGGCAAAGGACAGGAAAGACAAAGCAUCAGGCGGAGUGGCUCUUAGCAUCUUCUCUGAGUCUCUUGGAACAUUGCAAAAGGAAACAGAAAAAAAAAAUCCAGAAUGAUAACAAUGAGGAGAAAUCUUUGUUUUGAAUAAAGACUCAACCCAAGAUGCCCCAGAGAUCCCUUCUAGCUGAACCCCUUGACUAAUUUUGUAGCAAGUGUGUGCCUGCAUGCAACUCUUUGCUGAAGGCAAUUCACUCCUUCGUACAGCCUGCUCUCCCAUUGGCAGUAGGUCUCAACAGUAAGAGCAUUUAUUUUUUUUCUUUAAGCUCUCCAAAAUCAGUCAUAGUUCUUUUAGGAUACCAUAGAACAGGUCUACCCUCAUUUUAAAUUUCAUAUUCAAAGAUAAUGACUGUAACUCUCGGCAUGUCUUCAUAAGUGACUAGAGUUGCCACUAGUGGGGGCAGAACAGAGAGGUCAAGGGGGUCUUGGUGCCUCUGGGUCGCAGGGACUCUGAUGAAAGGAAUGGGGGCCAUGGGAUAUGAUGAACUGCCUGACACUGGAUGCUGGUGCUUCAUUCCUGCCUCUCCUCCUUGGUCCAGUUCUCUCUUAUUCUGCCCACAAGCAGAAUAGCAGAAUGGCUAAACCUAAACUCCUAAGAAAUGAAAAGCCCUAAGAGCUUCAGAAACAGAUCGUCAAGAGAGAGCACCGAAGAGAAGCAGGAACUCAAGGGAGAGUCCAGUUUACCGCGUCCAGAUAAACGGGAGAAGAAGAAUAAAAACAAAAAACAACAUUAUCAUCAUCAACAACAACAACAACCCCAAAGCAAAAGACAGUGUUACAGUCCUGGGAUGAGAUGAUGUGGGUCUGAAAGGAAAUGUGGCGGUAGAGAAUCCUUGUUGCCGAGAUGCUACUUUUGGUUGGUAUCAAGAGUGCCUACAGUGACUUAAGCCCUCAUUGCUCUCAGAUAUCCUGCUUCAGGGAAAGCAGGUACAAGCAGUGCUCAGACGAAGAUCUUCAAGGGCACACAAUGAGAAUCAAAUCAUCACCUGGAAAAAAAAAGAUCUGAUAAAGGGCGAGCACUAUGUGUUCAUGGCAUCUGUGUGUCUGCACACAGAGCGCUUUGCUAUGGUGAGCAUGCGCGCAUCCCUCUGGCGGAUCCUCAUUCCAGGGUGGAAAGCUUUGGAUGGCAAGGUGAAUGUUACUACUGUGUAAAUAUUAAUGACGGACACAACCCUCAGUUCCUGGGAUAUCCAUUCAGUUAGAUUCUCCCAAGCAUUUGUGUUCUAGAAGAAAGUGAUGAACUUUUUCUACAGCUGGAUAGUAAAUGUUUUGUGAUAUACAAGUCUCUGUCCUUGUUUAUUCUUAUGACCCCUUAAAACAUAAAAAUAAAAGAAUUUCUU